CCUACGGGCGGCUGCAGUGGGGAGUAUUGCACAAUGGGCGCAAGCCUGAUGCAGCCAUGCCGCGUGUGUGAAGAAGGCCUUCGGGUUGUAAAGCACUUUCAGCGGGGAGGAAGGCGGUGAGGUUAAUAACCUCAUCGAUUGACGUUACCCGCAGAAGAAGCACCGGCUAACUCCGUGCCAGCAGCCGCGGUAAUACGGAGGGUGCAAGCGUUAAUCGGAAUUACUGGGCGUAAAGCGCACGCAGGCGGUCUGUCAAGUCGGAUGUGAAAUCCCCGGGCUCAACCUGGGAACUGCAUUCGAAACUGGCAGGCUAGAGUCUUGUAGAGGGGGGUAGAAUUCCAGGUGUAGCGGUGAAAUGCGUAGAGAUCUGGAGGAAUACCGGUGGCGAAGGCGGCCCCCUGGACAAAGACUGACGCUCAGGUGCGAAAGCGUGGGGAGCAAACAGGAUUAGAUACCCGGGUAGUC
Molecule: ribosomal RNA, 465 nt
Filed under: uncultured Klebsiella sp.
Lineage: Bacteria; Pseudomonadati; Pseudomonadota; Gammaproteobacteria; Enterobacterales; Enterobacteriaceae
Description: bacterial SSU rRNA
Rfam family: Bacterial small subunit ribosomal RNA
Source: RNAcentral